Molecule: long non-coding RNA, 6464 nt
Organism: Capsicum annuum
Lineage: Eukaryota; Viridiplantae; Streptophyta; Magnoliopsida; Solanales; Solanaceae
Exons: 2
Source: RefSeq, a predicted model, not a curated record
AUUGCUAAUUGUUAUAUCCACAAAUUGAGCAUCAAUUCAUUUUCUUUAUUGAAGAUAAAUUUUUUUGUUGACUAAUUGUUACAUCUAAAAAUUAAUUCUCAAUUCAAUCUUAUAAUACUUAGAGUUAUAUAAAUUAAAGUAAUUUAAUUUUUAAGUAAAAUUAAAAUUAUAAUUGACUACUUGUUACAUACAAAUCGUGUCACAAUUCAAUAUUAUACUCAUAAUUAUAUAAUUUGAAAUAAUUUAAUUUUUUAAUUAAAGUCAACAUAUUUAUAUUGACGAAUUGUUACCUGCACAAAUUGGGUCUCAAUUCAAUCUUAUGUUACUUAAGAGUUAUAUAAGUAGAAGCAAUUCAAGUUUUCAAUUACAAUCAAACAUUUGAAUUGUUUCACCAAAAAAAAAUAUUUGAUUCGACUAACUGUUGCGUCCACAAAUUGAGUCUUAAUACAAAUUUUCAGUUGAAGAUAAAUUUUGUAUAUACUAAUUGUUAUAUCCACAAAUUGAGUCUCAAUUCAAUCAUAUAUAUUUAGAGCUAUAUAAAUUGAAGCAAUUCAAUAUUUUUUAAUUAAAGUCAAAUAUUAGAGUUGACUAAUUGUUCUAUCCAUAAAUUAAGCAUCAAUUCAUUUUUUCAGUUGAAGUCAAAUUUUCAGCUUACUAAUUGUUACAUCCACAAAUUGACUCCUAAUUCAUUCUUAUAAUACUUAGAGUUAUACAAAUUGAAAUAAUUCAAUUUUUCAAUUUAUGCCAAACAUUUAUGUCAAAGUUUGACCCAUGAUUAUCAUAUUCUUAUAUAUGUCUUACCUUUCUAUUUUGUUUUCAAUAAUUUUAUGCAUUCUAUGUUAGUUUUAUAAUUUUUAUUAAUAUUUUAAAUGUCACAUUAUUUGUCCAAAUAAGCACUCGGUUAUUAGUUUUACGGUUAUUUCAUAUGUUGUAUUUUUUUAAAUAUUUUUAUUCAAAAAUUAUAUUUAAUUUAUUUGAUAUUUUAUUUAGAUUUCAUAUAUAUAUAUAUAUAUAUAUAUAUAUAUAUAUAUAUAUAAAUAUAAAUUAUCUUCCUAUUCUGGGUGCUUGUUACAUCUAGGGCGGCCUAGUCUUGGAUCGUGACACCCUUACAACUCCUUAUGAUUCAAUUGUGUGAUAUUUGUGUGAAAAAUAAAAAAGAAAUCUGCUAGCACAAUUAAAAUUUGAGAUAUGUGAUUGAUUAUGUUUGGCCUGAUAAUGCAUUUGUAGUAGAAGUAUUUAGUAGGCACAAACAAGCCAAGUGUAUUUACUUGAUCUAAAAAUUCAUGGCUUGUGUCAAAAUUAUCAUGAUGUACUCAAAGUCUUUUAUAAUGUAGAUGAGAACACAUGUCCUACCCAUUGAAAAAAUUGAUAUUACUAAAUCUACCUUAAAAACUGAGUUUAUUGUGUCGACUUAACCUGCUGAAGAAGAGGAUUGUUUGAGAAAUUUAUUAUUUUGAAUAUCUUAUUUUUGAAACUAACUCCUUCUAUUUUGAUUCAUUGUGAUAACAUCGAAUUUAUUGAUAGAGUAUCAACCAUUAUUGUAAUGGUAAAUUCAGACGAUAAGAGGAAAACACAAUAUUGUAGAUCAUUUUUGUCAAUGGUAUACCAUUAAUAUUAAUUAUGUUAAAUCUUGUUAUAAUCUUGUCGAUUUAGAUCAAGGUCUUGGCAACGUAAAAGGUCUGAAGCACAUCAAAAGAGAUAUGCUUAAACCUAUAAAAAUCCAUGAGUCAGAUAUGAAGAAACCUAACUUGAGAACUAGAUCCAAUAACUAGGUUCAAUGCAAAGAAUGAAUCAUAUGACGAGUUAUUAUUAAAUGCACUAAUGUUUAAUCCCUCCCUAUGAUGUGGGUGCAUUUCUUCCUGUAAUGAUUUGUGAAGUUUGACUUUAAAAAAAAACUCUUAAUGUAUGUAGCUCAUAUAGGUGGGAGUUAAACUUAUAGAGCACUGUUGAUAGAUUUCACUUAUGUAUGUGUAGAAGUAGGUCGCUUCCUAUGAUAACUAGGCUUAUUGUCAAAAACAAAUAAAAAUUAGGAUAACAUAAGGUCGUAUUGCUGGCCAUUAAAGCUUGUGUCAAUAUCUUGAUUAUUGUGUGUAAAUAAAGAUACUUUAUUUCCCUUAAGUAGCCAUAAUUCAAGUUUAAGACCACCACUGACUUUGAAGUAAAGAUUACUGUUUUACUGUCACGACUCAAAAAUAAAGCCAUGAUGGAACUUGUUGCGACCCCGCCUGGGCAAGUAAGUCAGCCACCAAAAAGGAAAGAAAAAGCACACAAUUAAUGAAACUAACAAGACGAGACUUGUAGGACAAAGUCAGGACAUCACAAAAUAUAAAUAAAAUGGAAGUCUAAAAAAAUAACAUAAAUCACCCAAAAUUCUAAUGUCAUAAUGUAAGAGUAUCUAAGUACAAUAUUCAAACUAAAAUACAUAAUCUGUCUUUAAUCCAAAAUAAAGACAAGGUAAAAGAUAGGAUGAGAUCUGAGAUUCGGCUUGAACACUAGAAUGAUCCAUACCUUGAAUCUGAUCAAACUCCCUUGAAAUCUCAAUCGCCAUGCAUAGUAAUCAAAUAAGUAUCUGCAUCAAAAGGGCAUAGUAGAAGUGAGUACAAUGAACUUGUACUCAGUAGAAAUCAUAAGCCAACUGAGCAAAGCAGAAAAUAAGAUAAGAAAAAAAAUUAUGAGCACGUCACCUAUAAGAAGAAAAAUCCCAAAUGGUAGCUCACACCAUCUCCACUAACUGUCCUAAUAUAUACACAAACAUAAAAGCAACAAAGUUAUAAACAAAGAAUAUACUAAAACUAAACACAAGCCAAGAGAAACUAAAAAAAUCAUGAAAGAUGAUUAUGCAAUUCAAUAAAAUACAAUGAGUAUGGGAAGAAUGCUGAGAGUUAUCACAUGACUUUCUAUAUACACCUACGAAGCACGCAGAUCCCAAGACAGGACCCAUAGGGGGUACACAAUCCAUAUACUGUAUCUCAUAUCUCAAAUCUCAAUCCACCUCUUCGUCUCGUGUUCACAAAGUGGGGUUUUAUGAAAAUGUCUCAUUUUCUUUCAAAAAUAAUGUCUCAUUUUCUUUCAAAAAUAGUCUUCCUCAAUGGUACCAGUAUCUCAUAAAUGUAUAUGUAUAGAAUGAGGAUGUAAUGCUCAAAAUCAAAUCAAUAUAAAGAUAUCUAGUCCAUCCAACACGCAUGUAAGUGACACAAAAACUUAACUUAGUAUGUACAUAGUUCAUGAUUAUCAACUCUAAUUAGGCACCACUAGAAUAAAUAUGCAUUUAAGACAUCAUUAGUAUCAUAUCAACUCCUAACUUGGGCAUUUAUAUCUUGAUAAAGGAAACCAAUGCUCAAUAUGGCCUAUAAAUAACAAUUCAGGCUACCGUACGAGCAUUAUAUAGGAGCAAAUUCAAUCCUUAUUCCUAGCAAUGAUUCCCAAAAAAGAAAAACCUCGCUAGACUGAGGCCCAUUGCUAUGGGCACUACACUAUAUAAAAGAAUGACUAAGGCAAUUGCCAAUAGUUUCUACUGAAAGACAUGCUGGCUCUUUAAAAAGGGCGCCCUCCUAAUCUCAUUUUGAUAGGAAAAGAUAUUGAUAAUUAUCCCAAGGAGGCUUACUAAGCUAAUAGAUAUCUAGAAUAAAUCUAUUUAAAUGCACAUAUAAGGUCAAUGAUGUCAAAUAAAGGCCCUAUACAGGCAUCACGCAAUAUUAGAUCUCACAAGUUAACAACAAUAGAAUAUAAGCCCUACAUAGGUACAGAUCAGUAAUAAUAUUCUCAAAAUAUAAAUUUCGCAUUUAUUUUUCCCAACCCAUAACAUGCUUUACUUAUUUAUUAACUACCCAACUCAAUAUGAAAGAAGUUAAGACAUAACCUGCCCCGAGAUGAUGAAAUUCAAGCCUAAAGUUCUUCAACACAAAGAUUUCCCUUUUUGAACGGCCUGAGAAUCAAUUACAACAUUCAAAUAUAGCAUCUACACAAUAAUGAAAGUCGAUGAUACCCACAUCGCCUAUAUUUGAGUUGGGUUCAAAAUGGGUUUAAAAAUAAACAGGGUAUUAAUUUUUUUUUUUUCAAAAUAAAUUCUCUAAGGUUAAAGGAAUCUAUAGUUGAAAAACCAUGUAAAAUGAGUUUAAAAUGAGGUCCAAAUUAAAGAAAAACUAUUUUUAAGCUUUACCAGUAAAAAUCUCAAAAUCCCAUUUCAAAAUAAUGAUUAACAAGUAUUUUCGAAGAUUAAUCAAUGGAAACUAAUGGGGAUAUGAGUUUAGAGGUUACCCACAUGAAACACGAUGAAGAAACCCACAAAAAUUAUCUUUUCCAAAGCUUGCGGUUUAAAAAAUAGAUAAAAAUUGCAAAAUUAAGGCUUAAAACUGUUCUGUGAAUAGUGCCUUGCUAACAUGCUAAACCCUUCGCGUUCACGAUGAUCAACUUUGACUAGCCAAAAGUUUGGCCUUCGAGAUAGCCUUGGUGCAUUAAUAAUGAAGGGUAAUUUCCUUCUCUGUGUUCAUGGCCAAGGUCUUGUAUUCGCGAAGAAGACUCCAUGCACCAGAUAUUAGCCAUGCACCAACUCAAUUUUCAUGGUUCUGAAUCCUUCGAAUGGAUCCUUAUAAUUCAUUAGGGAAUUGAUAAAAAUAAAACAUAUAUGCUACCAGGCUAUAUUUGAUGUUCCAAACUCAAUGGUGAUUUUGAAUUUUCUAAAAAAAUAUUUUUUUAAUAAAUUAACCCUUGGGGUCCAUUUUGGCAUUUUUAAAAAUGAAUUGUCAAAAUGCAACCUAAAGGUUUCAAACCCGAACCAGCUCUUCUACUAAUCCAAAUUUGAUAUUUUGGACCUGAUGAAAAUGUCCAACUUGCAUCUGACACUCAGAACAACAAAUGUUGAGCAAAGUCAAUUAUAUGAUUUUUAAAGUCUUUAAAAACCAUAAACUCAAUCAAAUCAUUCCCAAUUGCCUUGUGAAUCGUGCCAACCAUCCCCACAUCCCAAAGUCAACAUAUAGUCACUAUGGAGAAGGGAAAAAUGAUCAAAAUAUAUUAAAAUAAGAUUUCAUAAGUCAGUUCAUUACAUUUAUUUAGUGAAAGUUCAAUGUAGAACACACCUUCAUUAUGAAUAAUAGUCUUCCUUCAAUUAAAUUGAUGAAAUACUCUCUUAUUUUAUUAUUAAAAUAAGUUUAGAAAUGUUGGUAGUUAUACAUGUUUAUAUUAAAUUAAAAUAUUAAGUGUGUAUGUUAGUGGGUAUAAAUUGUGGCAGAAGGUAACCAUUAGUUUUUUAUUACUUCUAUAACAUCUACCUCAUCAUGCCUUGUAACUCAUGUGACAUCUAAGCCACGCAUCUACCCACUUUACCACCCAUAUUCAUCCUGUUCAUUACGAAAAAGAAUUCUAAGAGGUCCUUUAUAUUUAAGUACCUGGAUUUGUUCAUCUUUUUGAAUUAAUCAGGUUAACUGUCUAAUUACAUUGAAAUCUUAGAUUGAGAAGCAUUAGCUAUUUUAGAAAAAUAUCUCUGAGAACCUUGGGGGUGAUAAACUAACUAAUGUUUAUCAAGAUGUUUGGCUAAGUCAACCUUAAGGAAUAUAUGUUUGUAUACUUGAAGACAAAUGGAAAGAUUUGAUCAGUAUUAACAGGUAAUUUAUUGUUAUAAUAUAUAUAUAUAUAUAUAUAUAUAUAUAUAUAUAUAUAUAUAUAUAAUAUACUGUAAUAGAAGUGUGAGUGAAAAUAGCGGUAUUAGCAUAGUUGUUUCAGUGUGUCUUUUAAAUGAUGUUUGGGGACAAUUUAGUAUUUUAGCACCUUUUGAAGAUGAGUUCUACUCUCUCCUAACAAACACAUGUCCUCCAUGUGCCACCCAUUAUAGUUAUUUAUUUCUUUUCUAAAGGCUACACCCAGUAACCUAGAUGACCAUUCACUUUUAUCCUCCCUAUGUGCCGCCUUUGAUCCGUAUCACCCCCAUCUCUGCUGUAAAUGCUGCCAUAAUAGGAUUUUUGCUCCGAUGAAUCAAAUUCAUAUCCAUGGUCACCUACAAUUAGAGAUUUUGGAAUCCUAAUAUUCCAUAGAUUCAUGGCACUUGGACCCAUGGGGCGUGAGUGAAGGUGUGAGUUGAGGUUUCAAAGUUGAAAAGUGAAGUCUGAUUCCCAUGAAGCAACCCAUGAUCGAUGAAUCCAACCCACGACUCGUUAGUUGGAGUCGUGAGUCAAGUACUGAAGCUUUAGGAUUAGUUUUGAUUUUCACGAGUCAAAUCAUGACUCGUGGAUCUAAUCCACGACCCAACCCACGAGUCGUAGGUGCUACAGACCUGUUUCUCUUACACAAUUUAGGAUAUGAUUUAUUUUUCAUCUAUAAACAAUCCUAUACAGUUCUAUGCUUAUGUUACACGCUCUAUAUACUUUCUUUUUACAUUAUUUUGAGUUUUGAGAUACAUUAUUGAUCUUGAAAUCAUUGAUAUUGAUUUUUAAGAUUUUUUAAUCAAUUUGAGAUUUUGGUUUUUCAUUUUA